This 1371-nucleotide long non-coding RNA is filed under the name Oncorhynchus mykiss (rainbow trout). Its description in RNAcentral is "lncRNA (ENSOMYG00000073727.1)". The record is from RNAcentral. Lineage: Eukaryota; Metazoa; Chordata; Actinopteri; Salmoniformes; Salmonidae.
AUGUGGGAGGGAAUGCUGUCACCUCCAGGCAGGUGUUCUCUCUCUCUCUCUCUUUCUCUCUUUCUCUCUCACCGCUCCUUCUCUCUCUCUCUCUGUCACUGCUCCUUCUCUCUCUCACCGCUCCUUCUCUCUCUCACCGCUCCUUCUCUCUCACAGCUCCUUCUCUCUCUGCUCCUUCUCUCUCUCUCUCCCUCUGCUCUCACCGCUCCUUCUCUCUCACAGCUCCUUCUCUCUCUGCUCCUUCUCUCUCUCACCGCUCCUUCUCUCUCUCUGCUCCUUCUCUCUCUCUCUCUCUCUCUCUCCCUCUGCUCUCACCGCUCCUUCUCUCUCUGCUCCUUCUCUCUCGCUCUCUCUCCGCUCCUUCUCUCUCUCUCUCUCUCUCACCGCUCCUUCUCUCUCUCUCUCACCGCUCCUUCUCUCUCUCUCACCGCUCCUUCUCUCUCUCUCUCUCUCUCACCGCUCCUUCUCUCUCUCUCGCUCUCACUGCUCCUUCUCUCUCUCUCUCUCUCACCGCUCCUUCUCUCUCUCUCACUGCUCCUUCUCUCUCUCUCUCUCCAUCUGCUCUCACCGCUCCUUCUCUCCCUCUGCUCUCACUGCUCCUUCUCUCUCUGCUCCUUCUCUCUCUGCUCCUUCUCUCUCUCACCGCUCCUUCUCUCUCUCACCGCUCCUUCUCUCUCUCUCUCUCCCUCUGCUCUCACCGCUCCUUCUCUCUCACAGCUCCUUCUCUCACUGCUCCUUCUCUCUCUCUCCUUCUCUCUCUGCUCCUUCUCUCUCUCACCGCUCCUUCUCUCUCUCUCUCUCCCUCUGCUCUCACCGCUCCUUCUCUCUCACAGCUCCUUCUCUCUCUGCUCCUUCUCUCUCUCACCGCUCCUUCUCUCUCACUGCUCCUUCUCUCUCUGCUCCUUCUCUCUCUCUCCUUCUCUCUCUGCUCCUUCUCUCUCUCACCGCUCCUUCUCUCUCUCUCUCUCUCCCUCUGCUCUCACCGCUCCUUCUCUCUCACCGCUCCUUCUCUCUCGCUCUCUCUCCGCCCCUUCUCUCUCUCCGCUCCUUCUCUCUCUCUCUAUUUCCCUCUGCUCUCACCGCUCCUUCUCUCUCUCACCGCUCCUUCUCUCUCUCUCUCUCCCUCUGCUCUCACCGCUCCUUCUCUCUCACCGCUCCUUCUCUCUCGCUCUCUCUCCGCUCCUUCUCUCUCUCUCCGCUUCUUCUCUCUCUCUCUCUCUCUCUCUCUCUGCUCUCUCCGUUCCUUCUCUCUCUCAUUACAUUCACAGAAUUUCCAAAAGAAUAAAGAAAUGUCAUAUGUGUAUAUAUAGUGUUAUAGCAAUGUCUCUCUCUCUCUGCUCUCACCGUUACCCUCAGUCUCUGCUCAGUUAG